This 301-nucleotide ribosomal RNA is filed under the name uncultured bacterium. Its description in RNAcentral is "partial 16S ribosomal RNA". It matches the Rfam family "Bacterial small subunit ribosomal RNA", at positions 509 to 807 of the family's 1533-position model. The record is from RNAcentral.
CAGCCGCCGCGGUAAUACGGAGGGUGCAAGCGUUAUCCGGAUUUAUUGGGUUUAAAGGGUCCGUAGUCGGAUCUGUAAGUCAGUGGUGAAAUCUCACAGCUUAACUGUGAAACUGCCAUUGAUACUGCAGGUCUUGAGUAAAUUUGAAGUGGCUGGAAUAAGUAGUGUAGCGGUGAAAUGCAUAGAUAUUACUUAGAACACCAAUUGCGAAGGCAGGUCACUAAGAUUUAACUGACGCUGAUGGACGAAAGCGUGGGGAGCGAACAGGAUUAGAUACCCGAGUAGUCCCUGUCUCUUAUAC